This 241-nucleotide long non-coding RNA is filed under the name Physcomitrium patens. RNAcentral's name for it is "long non-coding RNA (PPAT_LNC001554)". Lineage: Eukaryota; Viridiplantae; Streptophyta; Bryopsida; Funariales; Funariaceae. The record is from RNAcentral.
AAAACGGUUUAUUACAGGAUUACGGUUAAGAUAUGGAAAUCAAUAGCAAUUAUAUAGGAAUUGUAGAAGUUUGUUGGAGUGCCAGACUAUGAUAGUCAUGAACUAGGGUUAAGCUUGGUGCUACCUCUUUGUUUUCUUUGUUUUCUUUGUUGUUGAAGAGUAAUAGAUAGUUUUUGAAUACUGAGAAGUGAGUCUAUAGAAUAAAUGAGAGAUUGAUUUAUGAGUUAUUGAUUAUAUAAUU